UGUAUAAUGGGUCAGCGACUUAUAUUCUGUAGCAAGGUUAACCGAAUAGGGGAGCCGAAGGGAAACCGAGUCUUAACUGGGCGUUAAGUUGCAGGGUAUAGACCCGAAACCCGGUGAUCUAGCCAUGGGCAGGUUGAAGGUUGGGUAACACUAACUGGAGGACCGAACCGACUAAUGUUGAAAAAUUAGCGGAUGACUUGUGGCUGGGGGUGAAAGGCCAAUCAAACCGGGAGAUAGCUGGUUCUCCCCGAAAGCUAUUUAGGUAGCGCCUCGUGAAUUCAUCUCCGGGGGUAGAGCACUGUUUCGGCAAGGGGGUCAUCCCGACUUACCAACCCGAUGCAAACUGCGAAUACCGGAGAAUGUUAUCACGGGAGACACACGGCGGGUGCUAACGUCCGUCGUGAAGAGGGAAACAACCCAGACCGCCAGCUAAGGUCCCAAAGUCAUGGUUAAGUGGGAAACGAUGUGGGAAGGCCCAGACAGCCAGGAUGUUGGCUUAGAAGCAGCCAUCAUUUAAAGAAAGCGUAAUAGCUCACUGGUCGAGUCGGCCUGCGCGGAAGAUGUAACGGGGCUAAACCAUGCACCGAAGCUGCGGCAGCGACACUGUGUGUUGUUGGGUAGGGGAGCGUUCUGU
Molecule: ribosomal RNA, 634 nt
Filed under: Escherichia coli
Lineage: Bacteria; Pseudomonadati; Pseudomonadota; Gammaproteobacteria; Enterobacterales; Enterobacteriaceae
Description: partial 23S ribosomal RNA
Rfam family: Bacterial large subunit ribosomal RNA
Source: RNAcentral